GAGAGAGGAGGGACGGCUGCCGCUCUUUUAGAGUGAGGAAAGUCCCCCCACCGCCUGGACACACAAAUGCCUGUAAAGGGCAUACGGCGAGAGUCGUGGCAAUGUCACAGCAACGGAACGGCCGCGGGCCUGUGCGAUGAUCUGGAGACAGUGAGGUCGCCCGCAGCGCCGAUGAAACGGUCAAUCCUUGUGGGUGCAAGCUAAGAGGGAUUACCAGGGAGUCCAGCCCUGUCCCCGGUUACAGCGCGUAGAUGAAUGCCGUCGGCCUUAGGGCCAUGAACAGAAGGGGGCUUACUAUCCUCACUC
RNAcentral lists this RNase P RNA (306 nucleotides) under Methanocella arvoryzae MRE50. RNAcentral's name for it is "uncultured methanogenic archaeon RC-I Archaeal RNase P". It matches the Rfam family "Archaeal RNase P". From Rfam's summary of the family: Ribonuclease P (RNase P) is a ubiquitous endoribonuclease, found in archaea, bacteria and eukarya as well as chloroplasts and mitochondria. Its best characterised activity is the generation of mature 5'-ends of tRNAs by cleaving the 5'-leader elements of precursor-tRNAs. Lineage: Archaea; Methanobacteriati; Methanobacteriota; Methanomicrobia; Methanocellales; Methanocellaceae. The record is from Rfam by way of RNAcentral.